GCCUCCUUGGCUCAGUCGGUUAGAGUGCGUCCUUGGUAAGGACGAGGUCCCGAGUUCGAUUCUCGGAGGAGGCU
This 74-nucleotide transfer RNA is filed under the name Candidatus Woesearchaeota archaeon CG10_big_fil_rev_8_21_14_0_10_34_12. RNAcentral describes it as "tRNA-Thr". It matches the Rfam family "tRNA". From Rfam's summary of the family: Transfer RNA (tRNA) molecules are approximately 80 nucleotides in length. Their secondary structure includes four short double-helical elements and three loops (D, anti-codon, and T loops). Further hydrogen bonds mediate the characteristic L-shaped molecular structure. tRNAs have two regions of fundamental functional importance: the anti-codon, which is responsible for specific mRNA codon recognition, and the 3' end, to which the tRNAs corresponding amino acid is attached (by aminoacyl-tRNA synthetases). tRNAs cope with the degeneracy of the genetic code in two manners: having more than one tRNA (with a specific anti-codon) for a particular amino acid; and 'wobble' base-pairing, i.e. permitting non-standard base-pairing at the 3rd anti-codon position. Lineage: Archaea; Nanobdellati; Candidatus Woesearchaeota. The record is from RNAcentral.